RNAcentral lists this ribosomal RNA (244 nucleotides) under uncultured bacterium. RNAcentral's name for it is "partial 16S ribosomal RNA". It matches the Rfam family "Bacterial small subunit ribosomal RNA", at positions 524 to 766 of the family's 1533-position model. The record is from RNAcentral.
CACGUAGGGGGCAAGCGUUGUCCGGAUUUAUUGGGCGUAAAGAGCUCGUAGGCGGUUUCGUAAGUCGGGUGUGAAAACUCUAGGCUCAACCUAGAGACGCCACCCGAUACUGCGAUGACUAGAGUCCGGUAGGGGAGUGUGGAAUUCCUGGUGUAGCGGUGAAAUGCGCAGAUAUCAGGAGGAACACCAACGGCGAAGGGAGAACGCGGGGCCGGAACUGACGCUGAGGAGCGAAAGCGUGGGU